Molecule: non-coding RNA, 14405 nt
Organism: Struthio camelus australis
Lineage: Eukaryota; Metazoa; Chordata; Aves; Struthioniformes; Struthionidae
Source: RefSeq, a predicted model, not a curated record
GCACGUCUGUCCAGCAGUAGCGCACUGCUGGCGGACAGUCAGCUAGUCCAAGCCCGUGCGGUACCACGGGCUUGAAGCGUUUAGUCUUGCCGAUAAAUCCCAUCAGGGUCAAGUCGGUCCAUGGGAUGGAAAUGCUGCUUUUUCACUUUGCUUUUUGCAAGACUCAAGUAGCUUUACGUUUACUUUGCUGGAGGAGACGUAGGCUUGCACAGGGUGCGUGCUGCAGCUUAGGGGAGCAUACAAGGGUUGGUUGCCUGUUAGUUUGCUCCCGCGUCUCGAUGUAUGCAUGAUUAUUUUGUGUGUUUUUCACAGGAACCCUUCUCCACUCGCUGCUCCGCCUGCCUAAUGCUCCAGAAACUGGUUGGGGCUAUGUAACGGAGGGCCACUUUAUCUGUAGGGCAGCUGCUCUUUUUCGCUGCAGAAGAGGAAAGGUGUGGUGAAAGCUGGAGGGGAUUAGAGGGAAAGAAAGGAUGGCUCCUGGUGAAAGCAGCUUUCAAGACAAAAAUUCUGUGCCUGGCUUUGCAAAAGGGUUUGUGUCAUUGUUAACAAGACACUUUGCAGGCGAUCACCCCAUACAUAGUCUUUUUUUUUCUGGGCACCGGUGUCAGUACUCUGAGGUGUGAUUUGCAGAAGCGGUCAAUAUUAGCAGCUGUUGAAAGCUGCACUUUGAACAAGCAAAGUGCUAUAUAAUUGCAAGUACUGUGGAAAACCCAUCCACAUCUGAAGCCGGGCCCUCCUGAUAACGGAAACUGCCUAAUUUUGGCUUUGUUCUGCCUGUGCUUGUGUUCCCCACUGAGCAGAAAGGGCAAAUGAUACCUCCCUGCCUCAAAGGGGUGUGAUAAAGGUAAGUUCCUUUGGCUUUGCAGUCUGUGAGUUGAUCUGGUACUGAUCAAUACUGAUCAUCUCCAGAAGCAAAGGAAGAAGAAAAAAUUCUCUGAGGGAUGUACUGAGUAGAUAUUCAUGCGGCGUUUGGAAGGUACACAUAGGUUAAGCUUGGAUUACGUGCAGAAUGGUGAAUGAAAAAGAAACCUAUAUGCUGGAGGAGAAGGGAAAGUUGUAAGAGAGAGCGUAAUUAAACUCUCUAUGCGUAUGUCCAAAGGUUGGAAUUAAAGUCACUCAUAGUCCUUAAUUCUGCCAGUUCCUGACUUGAUUGCUCAGUUUUCCGGCCUUUUUUUCUCCGCCAUUUUGUAUGAAACUACAUUGGCAUGCUGUCUUGUCACAAAAAACGCUGGGUUGUUAAGUAGUUUUGAUUUGCUGGUGCUGAACAGAGCCUCUCCUUUGCCUCAGACUUCCCUUAUCUUCCACAAGACCACGAGAAGUCCAAGGGCGAGGAGGGUGAGAGGAUGUUUUAGAAGCUGUAUUAAAAUAGGGCUGGCAGGGCCAUCAGCUGUGUUCCCCCAUUGAAAGGUGGGACUGGCUAAGCCAGGCCAUUUCUCACCCCGAUUUUCAACCCAGCUGGCACUGGGCAGUCUGCAGAAAGUUGAAAGAAAGUAAUUCAGUUGACACUAAACUUAAAACUGCUAUUUGAUGGUCCUAACCUAUGAUAGUAUGUUUCAGGGUCCACACAGCAAAGAGCAUCUAUAUUUUUUUCCAAGUUAAACAAUUGAUCAAAUCAGCUUUCUAAGAUCUCCAAUGAUGGAUAUUCAGAGCCUACUGUUAGAUGCUUUUCCUCCUGUUGAGCCCAUAUUUCGCUUGCUACCAUCUAAGUCUGUUGCUUUUUGUCUUACAGGCGUGCUCUGGGAGAGGAGAUCUGGAAACAGUUUGUUCUCUUCCUUAUUGCAGUGCUUUUACAUAAUCGAAGACUGUUCUUGGGUCUCUCCUGCGUCCUUUCCUAAACAUAUACAAAGCCUUCCGCCAAGGGUAAUUUUUAGCUGUCAUCUUGUUCUUGUUGCUUUCUCUAGACUCUUUCUGAUGAGUCCAUCUCCUUCCUGAAUCCGAAGUUAUGGAAUCCAAAACUGGGAAAAGUACCUUCGCUGCAAUCCUGCCAGGCUUGAGUAGAAGGACUGCAAACAACACAAGGGCCUGUACACCUAAAAUGCUGAUUUUUUGUGACGGCACGCUGUUGACUCAUGCACAGUUUGUAACUGUGUCUUCCCAGCUCCUCUUUGGUAGAAACUGCUGCCGAAACAGUCAUUUCUUGCUCUAUGUCUGUACAGAGGCUUCUUUCAGCUUUACCCCAGAAGCUUGCAUUCAUCCUGAGUGAGUUGCAGUUUAUCUCUUUCCAGAUUAUUUCUUGAGUUUGUCAAGAUCAGUCUCGAUUCUCAUCCCAUCCCUCUGUGCUUCCAGUCCUGCCCAGGUAUGUGCCAUCUGCGAGUUAAAUAAUUCAUACCCCUUAUCGAAUCAUUGAGUCAGACAGGGAAGAGUGCAGUACGCAGGGCAGACCUCUUCAGCACCUCACUUGAUGAAGCCUACCAGAUCGACUGUAAUGCUAAUUAAGUAGACUAAUUACAGAAGUCAUAACCACUUCCUCCUUGAGGCUGUGAUUUUUUCCAGUCGCUGACUUCUGUUUCUCCAUGCUUUUUCCAAGUAGGCCAUACAGAACCUAAACAGUAGUUCUUGCCCUUUUUUAAUAGUUUUAGAAUAUCCAUACUAUUAAAAUACCGCAGUACAAAUUUUGCACAAAGCUUUGUGAUAUACAUCUUUUUUUGUACAUGGUAGGGCAGCAGAACACCAUCUAACAUUUAUGCCUUUGCCUCCUAAGUAGGACAUAGCAGAAUAGCCCGUCAACAGGCGUUCUCCUAAAUAUUAAAGUUAUUUUUAUUGGUUUAUAUGGAUUGUUUUAGUGGUCAUGCCCUUACUAUCUGUCGGCUCUCCUUUUUAGGCACCCACAGUCUUGGCUUAGCCAUGAGUGUCUGAUGUAGAGAAAAAAAUGUGUUCUUGUAAAUCAGCCUUUCCAAAUCCUGGUAAGGUAGAAAACUGGCCAUAAUCUAACUGGCCAAAGAAAGGAUAUUGGAUGAACUAUGAUGUUCAUCAAGCAUGUUUCCUCUAGCAUAAACGGGAUAUCUGUUUAAGCACAAACAUAAAGACUGCAUCUAGUGAUGUUAUAAGCUCCAUGGGCCGAUUGAUUUUGAAAUGGAGGCUUUCCCUUGUAUCCCCAAAUCUUCAAGGAUCAUUACAUAAAGGUACAAAGAUUAUUUUUGUCAUGCAGUAAUUUAAAUAGUCAACCAAAAUACUUGCAUGAACUUUAUUAGUGCCAAUUAUGUUUUAGUCUAAAUUGGCACUUGUCUGUGCUCUUUCUGCUGCCCUUUUUCCUCUCCUGCCAUCCCUAUUUGUGUUUGUGUUCUGUCUUUCCCUCCUCCCGUUACUUCGGCGGGUUUGAUUUUCUGCGGCAUCAUUUCUGCCUUGCUGCCGGUUGUUUCGUACAAGUUGGGAUCUCGAGGUUAAACCUGGCCAGCGCUCAAAUUUCAUUUUUCUGAUGGAAAAGGUAUGACUGUGAGUUUUCUGGCUUUUGCCUGUCAAGAGUUUUUAACUUGCUGCAAGUCAUCUUAUGUUCUCAAGCAUGACAAACUGCAACUAUUUUAAAUGGGGAAUAGCAUUGUCCUCAGCGGGUGAAAUCCUGUUUCUUUUUGCAAGUCAGCAAGACUCUAAACAUUGGCGUACACUCGCAUCUUCUACCUGAGCUGUUCCUGCUCCCUCCAGAUAAGUUUUAGGCACCUCUUUGUAUUUCCUGGGUGGGGAGCUAUGUAUUUUACUGUACAGAAAGUGUUUCGUGUAUCCUGUCAUAACGUAGUUGUGUCGCCGUCUCUUUCCCAGCCGUGCUGCAAGCAGUGCCCACCCAGUGGUGCGUGAUAACUGACUGAAGAGCUCUGGGUUUGCUUUUUUUUCCAAGUCCCGGAAGCUUCAGCCACAUUGAAAGUUAAUUGGAUUUUCCUUAGUAAGGUUUUUAUUGCAAGGUGAUCUGACAGUUUGGUGCAGCUAUAACUAUAAAGAAGUUCCUCCUAUUCUAUGCAGGUUCUCACCCGGCUCUAAUCACUUGACACAUAUAUCCGAGCGCUUUCCAGAAGUGCGGUUAAGCGUAUGACUAACAUCUGUCACACAGCAGUUGUUCUUUCUUUCAUCCCCUUCCUAGAGGGAAGACUGACUGUGCCAGUGUAGUCCUGGCAUUUGUAACAUAACUUAAUUAUCCAUGCUGUUUGGCGUUAAUGUCGUGAAGGGCGAGCUGCAGCCCAUCUCGUGCAAGCAGCGGCAGACCCCGAUGACUCCCCGCCGCGGGAGCAGACCAGACAGCUGGCUCGCGGGUGGCCACGUUUUGCCUUUGGCACCGAAGGCUUCCGCUCUGCCAGAAGAGAGAGUUCCUGCUGUGACUGGAACCAGCUCAAAACCAUGGCAAAGGGCAGUGUGGAGGGGUGUCCACAUCGCGAUACUUUAGAUGUCUGAUUUGACUCCCCCCAGUCAGCCUUCCGAGGCACCUAAAUCACGUGUGCUGUUAGUUGGCCUUUGUGAACAGCCCCCAAAGCCUCGCUAAGACCGAGGUGGUUGACCAAAAAUAGCUUUGGCAGCUGGGCUCUAUCCAGUUCUUCCCUGCCUUUGAUGUCCCAAGCUCAGCAAAGCCCAAGAUCUCUCUCUAAACAGUUACUACCUGAUGUAAAAAAAUCAUCCCCCAAACGAUGGGAAACAUAAGGCCAGAAGCAGCGUAGAGGCUCGGGAGGAGGGCAAGUAAUGAAGCAGGACUGGCUCGCGGGUUGGGCUGUGCUCUUGGUGCGUGCCACAGGCUAGUGCUGAACUUUGUGCAGGAUUUUUGUUUUCCUUUUGAGGGACUUGAAGGAGAACAGUUUUGUGGCUGGAUUUGGAGACUCCUCCCAAGCAUGAGGAGCAGCUCUCUGAAAAAGGUAGUACCAGCGAGCAGGGAUUGGCACCUUGGUCUGCUCGGAAGUGGGAACUAGCCUGUUGCUGUCGAAUGGCAGAAGGUACAGGACGGGAAUGGGGAAGGUCUUGAAAAUGAAGAUAGCGACGUGCCAGAGCAAGCUUUUGCUUCUGGUGUCAGGCCAGUAAAAGCCUCUAAAGAUCAACUUUGAGCUGUUUCAAAUGGCGUGAUGCCAUUUUCGGAUAACAAGUCUUCUGUUUCUGGGCAAAGCCCCCCCAGGUCAUUUCUUUGGACCGUAACCUCCUUGCGGUUGUUGCUGCCUGCUGCACUCGCAGCGCCCCUAGCCCAGGGUCGGAAACGGCCGCCCAAGGCAUCUCCUCUAGGCAUCUCCUCUAGGCUCCUAUCAGGCAGCGUCACCCAUCUCAAACCCUCGGUGCAAGCUCACCUCUUGUCCACAGAGCUUCAUAGCAUCCUUUAAGAGAAAAUGAUGUUGACAGGAGCUGGCCUCUUUAAGAGAAUGUGUUUUCCUUCCAGUAGUGCUAAUCUCAAAGGCUAAAGGAAGCAGUUGCUGUUGGGUCCCCUUCUCCUUUCCAUGUGUCUGAGGACAGCAGCGCUGGCGUUCCAGAAAGCCCUCAGGUCGCAGAAUUCGUUGUGAUCUCUGAGUCCAGUACUCCUUGAGAAAGUUUUUUAUACGUGUUGGCUAAAAACUGAUCCGGCCUCAUUCCCUCCUGAAAUUUCACAGAUUGUUUCCAAUAUGUUUUUCCAUAAAGUCGGAGUAUCUCCUAAAAUUUGCUGACAUUCUUUUAUAAGACCUUAAUACUGCAAACCAGCUCUAACAGGCUGGGCAGAUGGCAUCUUGUCAUCUUCUUUACUUUUUAAUCUACGCUCACGUCAAAUACAUUUCCAGUCACGUCUGUUCCUCUUGUCCUGGUCUUUACUGAUAAUUGCUUGACUCCUACAAGGUACAGCAAUAUCAUUUUGUCCCCCAGUUUUCAUGAGGCCUGAAGGAAUUUUCAAGUAACACGCUUGUGCUAUUUCAUCGAGAACACAACGAGCAGGAAGCUUUUAAAAUUAGAAGUUGUGGCUCGUGGCCGAGUCAGCCAUUGUCAUGUAAAAAGAGCGAGCGUGGCGUGUAGAGAAAAUCAUUUCAGCCAAGUGUACAGCAAGUGCUGUAUUAGAAUACUUAGCAGAAGUUGUGUUGUGCUACAGUGUGUAAGGAUUCAUGCGUGAACGUGAAAAUAAUCUGUAAAGAGGGCUUGAAAUAAUUCCUAGGCUUCCACUUGUCCUUUCGUUUGCCCACUGGGAAGGACAUCCUGAGAUCCGAGGGCAGAGGGUUCUUCUGGGGAUCCGAACCCCGAGCUGUCGUGCUGGGCACCGGCUUUCGUAGCCCAGCCCUGCCCCAGCACUUGGGGCCCUUUCUUCAUCUUCCACCUGCGAAGGUAAUUGCAGGUCAGUUCCUGCACCACUAAUUCUGGAUGUGGGGCAAAAAAAGGACGUGCCUUUCUGGCAGAUGGGCUCUCCUCUUGUCCCCUGCAGGCUUUGGGGGUGUUCCUCCUUCCUACAGGUCCAAGGCUUCCCUGUUGUAACGAGACUUUUCUGGAUUCUCACAUAGCUUGUAGUUACCUUCCAUCCCUCGUAUUUUAGUUGCUCCCUGUUCUCAAGAAGCAGCUGAGCGAAACUGCAGCAGUUAUCCCCGUAAAGAACUACAGUCUCAUUUUCAUGUUACUGCUGGAUGCAGGUUGCCCACAGCACAGCAGAAGCACUGAGCUAGGCUUUCAGAUUCAGGACGGCAGUGCCACCUCCAUUCAUAUCUCGGGAGAUGUUUUUGUUUUGGGAGAAGCUAAAGUUUCGGUUCUUCAGAAGAUGACAAUCUAGCCCCUUGCUCUGCUAGCUGGAAGAUCUCUCUGGUGGCCAGAAGCUGCCAUGGAAAUAAAGUCUGCAGCCUUGUGUAAAAAUCUUAGUCAUAAAAUUAUGGAUUGUUGCAGUAAAAAUACACAGAAGCAACCAUUUACAGUUGCUGUGUAUCGAAUGAAACUCGACGUGCAGUCAGCAGAUGUAUUUCUGUUUGCAAUGCAUCCACGAUAAUUACUUUCUUUUUUUCUUACAGAUUUGUGAAUACUCCCAAGAUUUUUAUAGCAAUGAUCAAAACAGAUAUUUGCAGCAGAACUGAACCGCCUCUGAGGACAGUCUGUUCGUUGAGGUGCCAGUAAACUCUGGCGCUCGGCUGCCGCCAAUUUUAGAAGAGCUUUUCCCAAGCCAGGGCUGCAGCAGGGCUGAGCUGCCAUGGUCCUGGCAAAAGCGUGGCUUGGGAUCCGUGCAGUUACCUGUGCGUGGGUAGGGUCUCCUGAGGAAAAAGCUGUGAAGGGCUGUUUGAAGGCACGUAUCCUGUAUCAUCUGCCACAGCAUUAGCCCUGGAAUAUCCAAGAUAUGCUGCUUGCUUUUCUUCUCUCUUCACCUUUUGUGGUGGGUCGGGGUUAUCCCAGUGUGCUGUUUAGACCGAGCACUGCUUCCAAGCAGUUGCGCGUUUCCUGUAUUCUUGAUUGCAUAUGCAACUGCCACAAAACUGCCUCCCUUUGAAUUUCUUCCAAACCUUAUACUCGCUGUGAUAAUCGAUAUCAGCGUGACAGAUGCGGAAGUGCUCAGCGCUCUGGCAUAGUUUAACUGUACAUGUUGCGUGGCCCAGAUUGCAGAUCAUCGUUUUGUCCAGCUAUCUGGAAAAUAUAGUAGUAUGUGGAGAUGACCGGAGGAUAUACAUCACAACACAGCUUGCAAUGAAAAAGCACUUUCUUAUCUCGGAGACCCGGUGGCAGGAGGGUUGCUAGGGCUGGCUGUCGGGUUCCUCUAAGCUCCGGUGCUUUGCAGGUUUGCAAUGGUAAGUGCUAGGGGAGGAACUAAAUGCAAGGCCCAGUGCUUAAGCUUUGGUUGACUAAAGCAAUUGCAUGUUUCUAGCUUCUAAAUGCUCACUGGAAAGUGAAUUUUGUCAAAUGGUGUCAAUAUUUAACACAUCCAUCUCCCGAAUCAUCAAAAAUUCUUACCUUAAAGUCCUUUAAAGCCUUAGCACGUCUCCUGUUGAUGUGAUCACUUUUCUUCCUCUCUGAGAUAUAAAAGGUCGGGGAGAUGAAGCCUUUUGCUGAACCAUUCCCAAAUGUUGUUUGAACUUUACUGUAGUUAGUGGUGAACUGUUACAGUUGAAGAAACUCUCUUCGGAUGUCUGCCUGCAGGCUCAGAGCUCAUGCUUCUAGUCCAGAAAUUUUAGACUACAUUUUUAUAUUAACCUCUAAAUACUGUAGAUAGCAUUUUUAAUUUGAGCAUUUAAUUAUACCCAUAACCACGUAACGUGUUUUUAUUCUCAUUCCUGGAAACAACUAAUAGCCUUGGUUCCCUCUUUCCUUGUGCUUUUGCUAACUGCUGCAGCCAAUAAGUCGUAUAGGACACAAAGAUACAUGGUUGGCUUUAUUUUUUUUAUUUAUUUUUUUCCCCAGCAGCUGUUUUCCUCUCUGUCUCUUCGGUAUGCUUCAGCCUUAACCAUUCCCAUUGCUAAAGGCGUCCUGUUCUGCAGCAGUCACGUGCCUGUGCAGCUAUCGCAUGGACGUUGGGGGUUUGGGAGAUGUUAACUGUAAACGGAGGCAGGUUCUUGUCGCGUUUUGGGUCACGCGGCAGCAAAACAGUGGUUAUUCAGCCGCACAGUGGUUCCAGCUCAUCCCUUCUGUGCUCGUUCUCAUGUCGAGCCGGGUUGCACAAAUCAGUUACCCAGGGCAGAUUUGAUCAUGGACUAAGUGUAAGCGAGCUGGCUGCGAGCUGGUAUCAGGUAGUGUGCAACGUCUUGCUUGUAGUCAGCGUAAAACAGCUUCCCCAGGGAGGAGCGUUACUGCGUGUGCUACAAGUACUGCUUGGAGCUUAGACUCCUGCUUCUCACCGCAGCUGGAUGUUGUGGCUGGAUCCUUUGUUAUGUGCAACCUUAAUUUUGUUUCAUUUUUGUUUCCUUGAAUGCAGAAAUAGGCUGUAGCCUGGAAGUGCACAUCUUAAGCUAAACAUUGCCAGGAUUUCAUUGUCCUCAGGACAUUGAAAUUAGCUGCAGAAUAACUGGAGUCACCUUUCUGCGCGCGUAACUGUGAGUCCCUUCCGCAUCAGUUUGUACAACAACCCACGGGAGUGGUGUGAGUUAGUAAAUCCAGGUAUGUGGCAUGAGCAUUUUGGGGGUGUCAGGAAGGGCUCUCAUACCCCUGUGGCCCCCCUGAUUAUGUUGUCACUGCCUGAGCCUCAGCAUGGCACCGCGAAGGCUCUGCCCGCAGAGGAGAUGAGUGCCCUGGCCCGUCUGAGCUCCCGUUGUGGCAGUGCCUGGCGAUCCAGGGAGCCACCAGGACAAAGGACGAUCAGGGACUGCCUGCGGGACCCGGCUCAAAGCGGCAGCGAGGGGAAAGCGUUCCCGCUGCCCUCUGAAAACGUAAAGGACAAGAAGGGGCUGGAGGAGGAGCUGGGCUGUACCUUCACGAGAGAUUUCCCCUCAUCUACAGCUUUUGGGGGGCUUCUCUGCCACUAUCCCUGUUGUUGUUAACUGGGACAAAAGGCAAGAGGCAACUGAUCCUGAAAUCCAGCAUUGCAUCAACCUGGUGAGCUAAGAGCAGCCACAAAGACCCAGGAGGCCCUGAGUCACAGCCAUCUGGAUAGAGAAACCUGAGCUAGGCAAGGGAUCGCUUCCCACAUGUAUUGCAAAUCACGAUAUCACUACACAGGGAAGACAAAAACAACUCUCUUCUGGGUACUGCAAGAGCCCAACUGUUUUAACCUUCCUUGGCUGUCUCGUGGGAUUUUCAUUCUUUCCUGGUACUCAAGAAAAGCAUCUGCUCCGGAGAGCGUACAGACUUUUCUGUCCUUUGGAGCUGAACGUGCCAACAUACAGUCAGCAUGUAAGCUUGCUGCAUCCCAUGUGCUCGAUAGCAUUUUCUGCUUACACCAGCACAGCCAUUCCUCAGCUCUGUCUUAGCUUUGAGCUAAGAAGCGAUAAGUUUCUUCUAGCUAUCUAUCUUGUAAGAAGAGGAGGUGCUGGAGUAAUCCAACAAACAUAUUAACGCAUGUUGUCAGCUUUUAGCUAUGCAUGGGUUGUGGGAGCUGUUGGUCAAGACACGUUGCAGAGACUUGUUUAAAAAACAGCCUAAAACUGCCCUGCUGUCUUGUUUAUUUUGCAGUGUAUGUUUUAUGCUGGUAGGUGGGUGUCCCAAGGAAACUCGCACCCCACAGUGGAGGUGUCCGUUUAGUCCUUCCUGCAGCAGCAGAAGCAAACUGCGGUUUAACCUGUUGCUUUUCUGAACAAACCUCCUUUCUACUCUUAGGAGACAGCCUCUAAAGUCAGGAUAACCUCCAGAGGUGUGCUUAUUCCUUUUUAGAUGAUCCGCAGUGUCACAAGGUUUCAACAGCAGGCGCAGCUCCUGAAAACUGCUGCCAUUUCCAGGCUGACCAAAGAAUGGGAAAGGACUGCAGUUCCACGCCUGGCAAAGAAACGGUCAUUUUUGCUGGCUCAUCUCUAACGGAGCAACAGGAGCUCAGGUUUAAAAGAUGACAUGUCCAAAGUAUUUCUGCAAGCCCCUGAAAAACAGAUACAGAAAGUCACAGGAACAGGCCUUUGAAACACAAGCAAGAGGUAAGAGUGAAGGCUGAGCCAUGGCUUGCACUUCAUGGACCCUUCUGGAGAGCACGCCAGCUCUCCGGGGGAGGACUGGGCUGCUGCCUGUGUUGUCUGUCUCUAAACUUACUUCUGAGAUACACUCCUAAGUGCUCUCCAGCAGAGAUAUGCUGUUUCCUUACCCCUUCUGUACUGCAGGAGAAAAGCCUGAACUGGGAGAUCUUGACAACGUGAAGUGUGGAGAACGCAGUGGAUCUCCCUCCAUAGGGCUACUUUUCACUCAACGUUCACAAAUUUCAGUGACGUAUAAAGCGCAACCUUGUCCAUGCACUGCUCUUUGCUUUUAGGCUCUAAUGAAUUUUAACUUUGCAUAGUGAAGCACUUGCUCACAAGCAGUGCAUUUCCGUUUUAAAAUAGAGGAAAAUCAAAGAAGAAUCUUCAUUAAAAUGCCACUAAAACGCUUGUUUUCAGAGCCUGCAAGGUGCGCUGGAACAACACCCGGGGCAAGUUUGCACUGCAGCUUUUGAGCACCGAGGUGAGUAUAGCAAAUGCAGUGAAAGCCAUGCUGGCACACGGGGCUCUUUGUCCAAGCUGAGACCCUUGAACUGUCGCAGUAUGCCCUGCAGUAGUCCUCUCUGGUUGUUUGAGACCUGUGCCAACCUCUUCUUCGCCAUGCUGGGGAGGCCGUAGAUGCUGUGCAAAAGAGGACAAGCAAGAGGAUAAGCACGGGAUAUUUUUCACUUGCUCCAGGCUCCUCCAGUCUUUCAGUCUUCCAAGAGCGUGUUUUGCUGUCAUUCUUGCAAAUACUCAGGCUGCAGUUCUCCUGUCCAACUCACCAGUCAAAGUCUUGGCAAACUGAGCAGUCCAGGUAAGCUGCGUGACGGAACACCAUGAGGCAAAAUGGUACCAGUUUCAGAAAAUGCGACUCCCAGGGAAAUUUUGGCUUGAGGUAGCAGGAGCAUAUGGUUUUCUAAAUUCGUUCCCAGAGGGGCUUCACUUCAACCUCACACCAAAGGUUUCCCAGCUUUCUAGCCAAGCAGUUCAUUUUCUAAAACAAGAGAAAUCAGCAGUUUUGUGCUAGCAAUGCUUGGAGUUAUCUUUUACCAGUGAAGGAAUCCUCUCCGUCUCGUUCGAAUUUUGCAUAAAUGCAGAAACUACUGUGUAAGAAGAGUUGUAAUAUUGAGACAGGGGAGAUCAGAACACAGCAUUCCUCUGGAUAUAGUUUGAUGCAAUUUUGAGCUACUUACAGAAGAUUGGCUGAAAGGUAAACUGAUUAGGGCAAAAAAAAAAAAAAAAAGCUGUGCUAUUAAACUAUGUUAGUGAUUCCUUAGUUUGGAAUAGCUUUUUCAUGAUCUCAGACAUCUAGGACAGAUGCGCAUAUUUUUCAUGUCAGAAUGAAGGUGCAACUAGCCAGCAGCUCUUGUGUUUGCAAAGCCGGCGUCCUGCUAUGAAUCUCAUCUCAGUCCGUUGACUGCAGAGCCCUCUGACUUUGACCUUCCUGUGUACAAGUUGCACCCCGGGUACAUGUGAUAAAUGCCAAGGCGGGUAUGGUGUGGAGAGCUGUGCUUUGGGAGCCGUUGGCCAGCUGUUGAUCGCCAGCUGUUGUAAAGGAUGCUGCGGCGUUUUGUGCAGCAGAAAAACUGAUUCUUGAUUCCUGGUUGGAUUUCAGGUUAGGGGAUUGUUUUCUGCCAAGCUAAACUCCCCCCCACAGUUUCAGCUGUACGUUGCUCCCUUUCUAUUCCAGUGGCACCAUUAUGCACUGGUCAUCAGCUGCUGCAUUUAAUCUCAGAAGCUGUAGUUGGUAGCAAGCAAAGUGAUCUCCAUAUAACCUCUGUCUUACUCAUAAGCGUGCAUUAUGAAGCUUAACCGAUGGUAAUAAAAUGUUUCGCUUUCAACAUGCAGUCCCUGUGGUCCAAUGUUCCCGUUAUUACAGAAGCGCAAUGUAUUAGAAUUAUUCUGCUGCCCCCAAGUUUCUCAGGAACGUGUCUCGUAAUGUUGGGUGCAGGCAUCAACUUCUAGCAGUGCAUGUGAAUAUCCUGGUAGGACUAGGUAACGCUGAGCAGCCGUAAAGUGAUAUUUUAUCUUUUUGGCCUCAGAAAAGUAACUGCAAAUGCUCCAAACGGCGUUGUUCUUUGGCAAAGGCUGGUAUCUUCACGGCCGAGACGCAGGCACUGACACGGGCGGACGUGCUAAGGCUCUUGGUAUCUCCCUUGCUUGUGACCCGCUCUGGCAGGUUUCAGUCUGGCUGCAGUAGUCUCACGGUACAAUUUUGUGUUAGUGCCUCUUCCGAGCCUCCUGUGGUAUAUGGGUGAAGAGAAAUGUAUUGUUUCCCACUGCUUUGCACACCUUCUGCUUGCCUUUUUUUCACCCCUUCUUGAACUACUCCAAAGAGUCAUUGUUUUAUAACAGUUUUUUAUUUCAACUGUGUACAAAAAAAGAUGGGUUUAUAUCAUCCUGCACGAAGGAUAUUUUUGUGCAGGAAAAAAAAAAAGAUGUUUCUCAUCUCUAUUUAAGUAACCGUACCACACGCAGAAAGUCAGAAGCCUGUUUGUGGAAUUUCAGUUUGGUUAACGCAUCAUCGACGCUUUUCUUGAAAGCAUCUUUUCUUUUAAAAAUAACUUAAACCUCAUACGAUUUUUUGUUCCCCGAAACUGAAAGCACGAAUCUCCACGUCUCAUUUUUGUACUGUGGGUUGAGUUAAACCUACAGCUGGUGGGUUUUUUUGUUUUUUUUUUUUUUUUGAGUUGGGCGCAGUUUCCCAUGCGUGAAGCUUGUGGAAGGCAGUUCCCAAGUGUGAGUGUGUACAGAAGAUGGAUGAUGAUUUCUUCCCGGAAUUGGCCUUCCGCUGUAAGGUCUGGUUUUCUGCUGUGCUAAUUCACAUAUAAUUAGAAAUGGCCCUGCGUUUGCGUUACGCCUCUGAUACUGUGUGAUCUUGGGUCGCUUUUCACUGUGUCUGGGAAUCACUUUAUUCACCCCUGAAAGUCUGCGUUUAAUUGCGGCAUACAGAUACCUGCAGGCUUCGAUGCAGCAAAAGCCUCUGCAUCCAAAAAUAAAGCGUUGCUUCUAAGAUGCUUUCAAAUUGGUCCUAUUUUUGGAGGCAGGAGAAGUUGCCAAGAUUAUUUACAUGAAAAUCUGGUGCGCUGACUGAGGCACGAUUUCACUCAUUUCUUAAAAAAACAGCUCUGAGCAGAGCUUGAGCUGAAGGUAAGACCAUGAGCUAACACACUCUCCUGUGAGAAAGGAACAUUCAAUAAAAAGACCUGGAAAAUGAGCAAUUUGGGUACUGCAGUUUCCACACUAGCAAGUUUUCAGUACAUGCAAUGUUUGGGUUUGGUCUCCAUUUUGACGCCCGCGUUACUGGAAAGCAGUGUUCUCCAGGCGUCUCCGGAUAUAAGAAGUUAUGACAUGGUAAUAUAUGAUCACCCAGUGUCACGAGAUCGACACAUUGCAUUUGAUAAGAGCAGUCACGGAAAACGCUGCCUUGCCCAACGAGAUGCACAGCGGUCGCUUUUUGUCCUGGAAGACUCCAGCAUCGUUUACCUUAAAGCAGUAUCGUGAAAGUGCAGACACUUUUCCCCCGGUCCGUGAAAACGUUGACAGCUUUAAACCGAAAUGGACCUCUGCAAACACAAAGCGCAUUUCAAACCGUUGUGCUCAGUCCCAAAGCGAUUCACAAAAGGGGCAAAGCGCUGCCGAAUGCAAGCAGGAGCCUCAGAUGGCAAACUCUGGCAGGUGAGCACUUCUGUUUCGAAAGGAGCUUUCCCCGAAAAAAGAUUUGCAUUGGGAUCGCGUGCCCCAGGUGUGGGGCAGCCGGUUGUUUCCUCGGCAAACGCUCGGGAUGGUUGAUCACGACGCACGUUGUGUUUGUGAGGGCCUGGGAAGGCAUUUGGGAUGUUCAGUGACCGUUUUCUUGGUGCCUACUGAAGCAUAUUGAGGAGUGCAGGUCUGCCCCCCCCCUUUUUUUUUAGGGCCCUUUCUUUU